AACGAACGCCAGCGGCGUGGAUUAGGCAUGCAAGUCGAACGUGAUCCGUAGCAAUACGGUGAAAGUGGCGGAAGGGUGAGUAAUGCAUAGAUAACGCACCCCCGAGUCUGGGAUAACUCCGGGAAACCGGAGCUAAGACUGGAUGGGGUCAGCGGGUCGCAUGGCCUGUUGACUAAAGGUAGCCUCUGAAUAUGCCUCCGCUCGGGGAACGAUCUAUGUCCUAUCAGCAGUUGGUGAGGGUAACGGCCCACCAAGGCAUUGACGGGUAGCCGGCCUUAGCGGGUGUCCGGCCACAUUGGGACUGAGACACUGCCCAAACUCCUACGGGAGGCUGCAGUCGAGGAUCUUCCGCAAUGGGCGAAAGCCUGACGGAGCGACGCCGCGUGU
This 387-nucleotide ribosomal RNA is filed under the name uncultured bacterium. RNAcentral describes it as "bacterial SSU rRNA". It matches the Rfam family "Bacterial small subunit ribosomal RNA", at positions 29 to 404 of the family's 1533-position model. The record is from RNAcentral.